Unclassified non-coding RNA from Ictidomys tridecemlineatus (thirteen-lined ground squirrel), 303 nucleotides. Its record names the gene 7SK. It matches the Rfam family "7SK RNA". From Rfam's summary of the family: 7SK was discovered as an abundant small nuclear RNA in the mid-70s but a possible function has only recently been suggested. NCBI's taxonomy places the organism in Eukaryota, Metazoa, Chordata, Mammalia, Rodentia, Sciuridae. The record is from Ensembl.
GGAUGUGGGAAUGAUCUGAUUGCAACAUCUCACCCCAUUGAGCCCUAAGGUGGUCAAGCUGAUCAAAUGAGCUAUGUGUGGUGUCUUGUUCUAUCAUUGGCUCCAUGUGCAUCUGUCCUAAAGAUUUGUGCUCCAUGGAGGAGGAUGAUCUUCCCCUCAUGGAAGAAUAUUCUAUGCCAAGGUUAGAUGAGUAGCUAUAUUCCCUUGCUGGAAUCCCCAAACAAGUUCUCAGGAAUAUAUUCAGUUUUCUAAUUUGAAUCUUCCAUUCCUGCUUUCUCUGAAAAGGAUACUACUUCCUGCUUC